RNAcentral lists this microRNA (22 nucleotides) under Monodelphis domestica (gray short-tailed opossum). RNAcentral describes it as "mdo-miR-7339-5p". The record is from miRBase by way of RNAcentral. Lineage: Eukaryota; Metazoa; Chordata; Mammalia; Didelphimorphia; Didelphidae.
AGUUCACAUCUUUCUCCACAGC